UUGAACGCUGGCGGCAGGCCUAACACAUGCAAGUCGAACGGUAACAGGAAGAAGCUUGCUUCUUUGCUGACGAGUGGCGGACGGGUGAGUAAUGUCUGGGAAACUGCCUGAUGGAGGGGGAUAACUACUGGAAACGGUAGCUAAUACCGCAUAACGUCGCAAGACCAAAAAGGGGGACCUUCGGGCCUCUUGCCAUCGGAUGUGCCCAGAUGGGAUUAGCUAGUAGGUGGGGUAACGGCUCACCUAGGCGACGAUCCCUAGCUGGUCUGAGAGGAUGACCAGCCACACUGGAACUGAGACACGGUCCAGACUCCUACGGGAGGCAGCAGUGGGGAAUAUUGCACAAUGGGCGCAAGCCUGAUGCAGCCAUGCCGCGUGUAUGAAGAAGGCCUUCGGGUUGUAAAGUACUUUCAGCGGGGAGGAAGGGAGUAAAGUUAAUACCUUUGCUCAUUGACGUUACCCGCAGAAGAAGCACCGGCUAACUCCGUG
This 489-nucleotide ribosomal RNA is filed under the name uncultured bacterium. RNAcentral's name for it is "partial 16S ribosomal RNA". It matches the Rfam family "Bacterial small subunit ribosomal RNA", at positions 30 to 507 of the family's 1533-position model. The record is from RNAcentral.